This 974-nucleotide ribosomal RNA is filed under the name uncultured Hypocreales. RNAcentral's name for it is "eukaryotic LSU rRNA". The stretch from base 333 to 974 matches the Rfam family "Eukaryotic large subunit ribosomal RNA", at positions 1 to 667 of the family's 3401-position model. Lineage: Eukaryota; Fungi; Ascomycota; Sordariomycetes; Hypocreales. The record is from RNAcentral.
AAAACUUUCAACAACGGAUCUCUUGGCUCUGGCAUCGAUGAAGAACGCAGCGAAAUGCGAUAAGUAAUGUGAAUUGCAGAAUUCAGUGAAUCAUCGAAUCUUUGAACGCACAUUGCGCCCGCCAGUAUUCUGGCGGGCAUGCCUGUUCGAGCGUCAUUACAACCCUCAGGCCCCCGGGCCUGGCGUUGGGGAUCGGCGGAAGCCCCCUGCGGGCACAACGCCGUCCCCCAAAUACAGUGGCGGUCCCGCCGCAGCUUCCAUUGCGUAGUAGCUAACACCUCGCAGCUGGAGAGCGGCGCGGCCACGCCGUAAAACACCCAACUUCUGAAUGUUGACCUCGAAUCAGGUAGGAAUACCCGCUGAACUUAAGCAUAUCAAUAAGCGGAGGAAAAGAAACCAACAGGGAUUGCCCCAGUAACGGCGAGUGAAGCGGCAACAGCUCAAUUUGAAAUCUGGCUCUCGGGCCCGAGUUGUAAUUUGUAGAGGAUGCUUUUGGUGAGGUGCCUUCCGAGUUCCCUGGAACGGGACGCCAUAGAGGGUGAGAGCCCCGUCUGGUUGGACACCGAUCCUCUGUAAAGCUCCUUCGACGAGUCGAGUAGUUUGGGAAUGCUGCUCUAAAUGGGAGGUAUAUGUCUUCUAAAGCUAAAUACCGGCCAGAGACCGAUAGCGCACAAGUAGAGUGAUCGAAAGAUGAAAAGAACUUUGAAAAGAGAGUUAAAAAGUACGUGAAAUUGUUGAAAGGGAAGCGCUUGUGACCAGACUUGGGCUUGGUUGAUCAUCCGGGGUUCUCCCCGGUGCACUCUUCCGGCUCAGGCCAGCAUCAGUUCGCCCUGGGGGAUAAAGGCUUCGGGAAUGUGGCUCUCUCCGGGGAGUGUUAUAGCCCGCUGCGUAAUACCCUGUGGCGGACUGAGGUUCGCGCAUUCGCAAGGAUGCUGGCGUAAUGGUCAUCAGUGACCCGUCUUGAAACACGGACC